GAAAGAUUAGUCACAAGAAAGAAUUAUAGUGAUUCUUCUCCUUCCCUCAUUGUGACCAGUUAUUCUAACUCAAUCUUGGACUGGUCUAGUAAUAAUUCCAGUAUUAGAGAUUCCUAGAGAAGACAGCUAAAAUCUUAAUUACCUAGCAAAGUUAAUUUGGAGCACAGCCUCCACUCCCAUAGAAGCUGCAGCCACCUCCCCCACACCGGGAGCUCUAAGUCUAAGCUUGAUCAUUGCUAAAUUGCUAUUGAAUGGAGUACCUGGACUUCCAAAGUACCAAAGAAGCUUUCAUACUGUUACUUUUCACGGUCUUGACUUUGUCUUUCAAGCAGGUCGGUCAAUGCCCUUCAACCUGACUGCAGCAGGUGUACAGCCUCACCUCCAACAGCGCAGGUGGCAGUUAUUAAUCUUCAUCAAGAAGCAUUCUAGUACAUAGUGUGGCUUUGGUCUGAGUUGGGAAUAAGGUGUGCUAAUGAGGGCUGGACAGUCAAUGACGGGCACUCAGAUCUCGGAACCAUACCAGUCUAAGACAGAGGUACAUGCUGUGGCUGUUGAUAACACACCACAGAGCCAAGUUUUGUGUCUAAUAUAACACAAACUAGCUGCACGUAGCCUCCAAGAUGGAAUUGCAUGGUUUGGGAAGAUCUAAGAUUUCCUAAGACAGGCGCGGCCGCCAGCCACCAUAACUCCCAGGCAGGACUAUAGAGCAUAAAUAAAUUUUAUGCCUUAGUCCAGCUUUUUAAAAAAAUAUUAAUAACAGGGAGGAAAAUGUAACCUCCUCCAGCCUAGGCAGGCUGGUUCAGACCUUAUACCCCUGAGGUGGGGCCACCUUCAGUGCAGCUCCUCAGACUCAGCUAGUUUCCUUUGAUGCCUACCACCUGCCAUGAGGCCAAACUGUUUUUCCUAGAUUUUCUUGAGUUAACUGCAACCUGUGAAUUUGGCAACUUACUGCUAAAAGGCUGUCCUGACAACUUGGCAUCAUGACAGCCAGAAACUUGGCAUGGCAGGGAAUGGGUUUCCCCCUUUAUAAGCGCAGACUUUUAUUAAACAUUUGAGCCUUUGCCACGCAUGCUCCAGUGAAGUCUGCUUGACAGGCUGAGAAGCCUGGGAGCACUUAUGAGGCAUAGAUUUCAAAAGGAACUCACCUCUUGGAGUUUUGACGUUCUCAUUAACCCAUAUACUCACACCCUAUCCCCGAGUUAGUCUAGUAUAUGAAUCCACGUGCUCUCUUUUAGUAUUAUUUUAUUAUAAGUGUCUUUUAAGGUUGAAUUCUGACAUAGCUAAGCCUCCCACCAGUGUUCCAAUGUUCCAGAAGCCGAUGAGCUUGGAAUCCGCUAGGAAUGCAGUAAUGAAGUUACCUAUUCAGUAACUAAUUAAGCAUUACAAAGGACGGAGCCAGCAGCUCAGGCCUGGUCUGCUGAGUGUUUACUAAGGACAGUAGCCAGUCUCAUCCAAACAAGAGAAUACCAUGAAAGAGCUAGGGAAUCCUACUGAGAUAGAAAUCUUCAGUACAGGCUACAUUGCAUAUUAGAAGUAAGUUGGUGAAAUCUUCUGACAAAUGGAGAUUCUCCACAGAUACUUAAAAGUUACACUCAUACAGAAAUUUAUCAAGGCCUAGGAAAGAGGGAGGUUGUGGUAAUGGAUUAUUAGUGAGAAGGUCUGCUAGAUCAGAGCCCUUGGUGGUGGGCUUAACAAUAGACUAGCUUUACACCUGGCUCCCUUCCUAGUGGCAGCAGCCUGGUCCCUGCCUUCUUUUGAUGUAUGCAUUCCUUUUGUAUUGUGUCACUGUAAUUUGGUGGAUUGUAUCUCGCCUGGUUUCUAGUUAUUCUUCUGUAUAAAAAGUUUGAUGCUAGACCUGACAAAAUACAUUCAGAUUCUACACAGUCUCCUGUGUACAUCUGUCUGUCAUUCUCACUGACUCCUUGCCCAUCUGCACCCAGAGACCCGUCAACGCAGACAAAGGGACCCAGAGGGUCUGCGGCAAGCCUUGAUCAGGAACCUUGUCUUGGCUCCAUUUCUCUCUUGUCUGCCUAGUUUCCCUCUCUUUUCAGCCCCGUUUUGCCUCCCAGGUGAAACCCAGUUCAUGUGAGCCACAGGCUGGCUUCCAACAAAUUAUAUGCAAAUUACUAGUUGGAAAAGAACAAUGGUAAAUAUUCAGAGCCAUUUGUCAAAAUGCUGAAACCAUUCUGAGUAAAAAUUCCACAGUUUCUUCUCUGAUAAUUGGUAAGUUCAUUGAUAAAUUUGUCCCUGUUACAGAAGAAAAUGGCCUUGUCUUUCUACCCUUCUUUCUGAUUUUUUGUUUCCCAGAUUUUGUCCUUUGGUAAGUUAUUCCCUUCCCAUCAUGCUCUGGGUCCCAUCUGCAUCAUAUUGGGAAGCAAACAUCUCUUCUUCAGUAGAUGUGGGGGGUGGAACAAGAAUCUUGGGUUUUGAGCUCAAUACAGCAUGAGUUUCUCAGGUGAUACAGAAGUUGGCUCUCAAAAGGUAUUUAGUGGUCCAAUAAUCACAGGCAUUUGUGGACCAAGCAUUUCAAUUUUUGGCAAAAUAAUUUGCUCAAAGACAGAAGACAUUUGGUCUACUUGGUUCCAGAGUUGCAUGUGACAGAAGCCAUAGCCAAAGGUUUUGUCCGAAUAGUAUCCUGACUGUUAUUAGCCCUUUCUGUUUUGAGUUAAUAGCAGCUACAUUCAACAUGAAAACACCACCCUUAAUCUGAUUUUGUAUCUGGCUUGGCUCACAUUUCCGGAAAGCCCUUGAGCAAGGUCUGAGUGACAUCCUUAUCUACAGUUAUUUUGUUUAUAGACACUGGUGGCUUUUCCAAAAUACUAAUCCCCAGUCAAUCCCGAUUGUGUGCCACCUGAUGACAGGAGAAUGGUGUGGACCUCUCUUCAUUUGUGUUCACCUCCUUAAUCCUGCUCUUAAACCAGCAGCCCCUGAUUUGGAACCUAAGGCUAAAGGCAGGAAAGAGCUGUUCAUUCUCAUUAGUAUCCUAAAUUUUCCUUUAGUCUCAGUCUUUUCCCAGGAGGAACAUAACCUACCUUCUUAGUCACUGCUGGUAAAAGUUUUACUGAAUGUUUUUAAACUCCCAGCCUAUGACACGUUUCUGACCUCACAGUGGGUCCACCAUUAAAAAGAGCCAAACACCAUUUAUAGCAAAACCCCACUUCUGACACCAGAGUUUUUGUUUUUGUUUUGUUUUUGUUUUUGUUUUUGUUUUGUUUUAUUACAGUGUAAGAUGGCCUGCUUUAGAAAGAGAGGGACUUCCAAAUGCUAUGGUUCAAAUACCAUGGGAUCUUCUUUCUGUUUACCUGUCUUAAAAUGAACAGAAGCUCUGCCAUUUGCUACUGGCUUCUGUCUCUGACCUCAACAGGGGUAUCCAAGUGUUCAUCAUUUGCCAGAUGACGAAGAAUGGAACAGAAGAAUGGAUGGCUAGAAGCUUUCUUUUGACGAGAGCAUCAAGAAACAUGCCCUCUUAGCUCAAAAAGCAGCAUAUUUUCCAGAACUGUCAAGUGACCACAAUUUUGACUGGUAGAGGAUCAGAAGAUGAACACUACAAAAAUAUGCAAGUGGGGUUUCCGCUGUUGAAUGGCAAGAUAGAAUACAAAAUGAAGAUAUCAAACUAAUC
RNAcentral lists this long non-coding RNA (3619 nucleotides) under Mus musculus (house mouse). Its description in RNAcentral is "long non-coding RNA chr12:40043011-40046630". Lineage: Eukaryota; Metazoa; Chordata; Mammalia; Rodentia; Muridae. The record is from RNAcentral.